CGGGUGAGUAAUGUCUGGGAAACUGCCUGAUGGCGGGGGAUAACUACUGGAAACGGUAGCUAAUACCGCAUAAUGUCUGCGGACCAAAGCGGGGGACCUCCGGGCCUCGCGCCAUCAGAUGAACCCAUAUGGGAUUAGCUAGUAGGUGAGGUAACGGCUUACCUAGGCGACGAUCCCUAGCUGGUCUGAGAGGAUGACCAGCCACACUGGAACUGAGACACGGUCCAG
RNAcentral lists this ribosomal RNA (228 nucleotides) under uncultured bacterium. Its description in RNAcentral is "partial 16S ribosomal RNA". It matches the Rfam family "Bacterial small subunit ribosomal RNA", at positions 103 to 334 of the family's 1533-position model. The record is from RNAcentral.